CUUGUGGUCAUUUCAUUGACAUCAAAGAAAACUCUAGAAAAUUUCUACAACAAGAAAUGAUAUUGCAGAUGUUACUGGAAUGGAGUAGCUCAACGAGAGUGCUGGGAAAUAAAACUUGUCUGGGAUUUUCUUUAAGUUGCUAUUUAUCCGCGUGUUUAAUUUUUAUCGUUGUAAAAGACAAAUAGUAUGUGUUUUCAAUAUGAUGUAAGAACAUAUAAUAAGUAAUGCUUUGCUUCCG
RNAcentral lists this small RNA (238 nucleotides) under Vigna angularis var. angularis. RNAcentral describes it as "Non-protein coding transcript". The record is from RNAcentral. Lineage: Eukaryota; Viridiplantae; Streptophyta; Magnoliopsida; Fabales; Fabaceae.